Molecule: long non-coding RNA, 219 nt
Filed under: Capsicum annuum
Lineage: Eukaryota; Viridiplantae; Streptophyta; Magnoliopsida; Solanales; Solanaceae
Description: long non-coding RNA (CANN_LNC020625)
Source: RNAcentral
GAGCAUGAAGUUAUUGCCUUGAAAAGAGAAGUGUGACGCCUAAUAAAUCGCACAUGGCUACUGGACCAAGUAUGUGAUGGCAUGUGCGGUGCAUAGCCUCAGUUGUGCGAUAGCAUGUGCGACGCACAUCUCAGCUUGUGCGAUAGGAUGUGCAGCACGUAUCUUAGCAUGUGCGAUGAGGUGUGGGACGCACACUUAUGAUUUCAGCCAUGAAAACAC